CCAGCAGGCCACCUUAUCGCUCCGAUAGCUAUUGGGGAGGAAAGUCCGGACACCAUAGUGCGGCAUAGCGGGUAACGCCCGUCCGCCGAAAGGCGAGGACAAGUGCAACAGAAAGGAUGUACAGUUCGGCUGUAGUGAAAUCAGGUAAACUCUAUGCGGUGAAACGUCACGUAAACCAGCGUUUUGAGGGCUGCACGCCCAAGCUGGAGGGUAGGCGGUUAGAGCUUUUGGGCAACCAAAAGUCUAGAUAAAUGAUAAGGCUCGACAGAAUCCGGCUUAUGGCCUGCUUUUUAU
This 294-nucleotide RNase P RNA is filed under the name Allomuricauda sp. CAU 1633. RNAcentral describes it as "Muricauda sp. CAU 1633 RNase P RNA component class A". It matches the Rfam family "Bacterial RNase P class A". From Rfam's summary of the family: Ribonuclease P (RNase P) is a ubiquitous endoribonuclease, found in archaea, bacteria and eukarya as well as chloroplasts and mitochondria. Lineage: Bacteria; Pseudomonadati; Bacteroidota; Flavobacteriia; Flavobacteriales; Flavobacteriaceae. The record is from RNAcentral.